UUCACCGCGGGAGUCGAGUUAUGCGGAGGUGGGAGCUGCUCAGUAGCUCACCUGAGACCCUUCGGGGAGCAAACCUCCCUGCCUCCCCGCUAAAAGGUUUUCCUAGGUCUUCCAUGUGCUCAUGGGUGGCUGGGUUUGGUGCACAGAGGCAUAGGGCCGGGCCCGCUGCUGUACCGAGCUAGUGGCAGGGACACCUGCUGCAGGCUUUGGGCUUUAAAUGUGCCAGGGGAGGUUUAGGUUGGAUAUCGGUAAAAGGUUCUUCACCCAGAGGGUGGUGGAGCACUGGAACAGGCUCCCCAGGGAAGCAGUCAUGUCACCAAGCCUGACAAUGUUCAAGACAGGUUUGGACAGUGCCCUCAGACCCAUGGCGUGAAUGUUGAGGUGUCCUAUGCAGGGACAGGAGCUGGACUCGAUGAUGUUUGUGGGUCACUACCAACUCAGGACAUUCUGUGAUUCUGUGUGAUUUUGUGAUUGUGUAAUGCAAUCAAAGCUAUUGCUAUCAUAAGAUGUCUCAUUUUGAAAUUGCUGCUGUUACAUUACCAUGUAGUUCUCUACUAGGCAGUUUUACAGUAGGGAAAUACAGGGAAUAUUACAGAAAUAAAGUAUGGCAACAUAUCUUAGGGAUAGACUGUCAUGAAACAGCAGGCUUGCUUCAUUCUCGUUCCCUCUGUUCUGUUCCCAACUGUUGCGAUCCACAACAGCAAAGAGCCUAUGAUUACAACAUUAAGCAGUAUUCUGAGUAAUCAGAAAGUUGCAGUGCUCCUUGCCUCAGUUCCUACACGUUUACAGAGUAUAUUUGAAAACAGAAUCAAGCCCGUGGCUUGCAGAACAACAUAGUGAAGAACAAAAUGCGCUUUAAUUAGUUAUUCAAAGCAGCAUCCCUGGACUGCUUGUAGCAAAAAAGUAUGAAUUGCCAAUGCUAGCUCCCCCUUAUCUGUCUGUCCAGAAGCUGAUCAUGCUACAAUGAAAGAGCCUGCUUAUUAAACAACACAGUAAAUGUCACACAUUAUAAUGAUCUUGUACACAUCACUCGGAUUAGCCACAGAGCAGUCUUUAAUAGUGGUUAAACCACAUUCUGCAUUUUUAUAUAUAUGUGGCAAACGUAUGUAUUUUGGUUUUUUUACAAUUAAAAGACUAACUAGUAGGUAGCAUGUUACGUUUAUAUAUUCCUAAUUGCUGCUCGAUCCUCUUCCAGUAACAUAAAUGGAUUUGAACCUGACUCACUGCAGCUCUCCUUGUUCAUUAGCGUCACAGCAGUGCUGCCACUGUUGUCACAGCCUCUUCCAAGAUGUAUGGCUUCAGGAGUGUAGUGGGGAGUGGGAAAUGGUUCAAGUCUUACCCUUUCAUCCUGAUUGCCAGCAGUUAUUUUCUGGUCCCAGGGGCAGGAAGGUGAAGAAUAGACACAAGAACUCUCGUAAACACAUUUCUUCUCUUUUAUUUUACGCUCUGCACUGACUAGAGCCUGGCUGGACCUGUGAAUUGUUCCAGAUCCCUACAGCUAUAAGUCAAAGCAGCAAUCAGAAUACCCUAGGAUAAUAUUUUCUUACACUGUCAUUACAAAGUAGUAAUUCUAUCAUUACAGCAGUUCCUGUCAUAUUGUCGUUAUGCCUUUUUUUCAAUGAAAAAUUACCAUGACUGUCUCAGGGGAUGCGCCAAGCUGGAAUCAUGGAAGCAGAGAUACGAGGCUUGAGGUUUCUGCUUAGUAAUUAGAACUGAAUUUAGUAAUUUAGUAAUUUAGUAAUUUAGUAAUUUAGUCUGAAUAGCAUUUGCAGGAUCAGAAUUAAAACGAUCUGAAUGUUAGAAGUAACAUUUCUUACCUUAACAGCACAAUUCAAAUGAAACGUGACAUAGUUCCAAACAGAAACACCAGGGAGAGUGAAAAGGGAAUUUAAUUCUGGAGUAAGGGGAGGAGGAGUUAUAACAGAAAGAGAAGGGCCACUGAUCCAUUAAUAAAUCCAUGAAGGUACGAUAAGUUGUCCAUGCAUAUGAGUAGUGGUUAGAAGUAUACCCCUCCUUGUCCAGAAAAUACUUGAGCCCAUCCCUAUUUAUGAUAGUUCCCAAGCUGCUACUUAAUUUCACAAAUAAGCUUAGCAAUGUGAUUAACUCAGCCCUUCUUAAUUUCUCCUUUCUUAAUGGCUUAAGCUAUAAUACUUGAGAAAAACAGAUUUGGAAGAUGUUAAGGCAGGAAAGGCAAAAGAAAUAGAGGAAUAGCAUGAGAAAGCGAAAAGAAGACAAACAUAUUCCAAGUGGAAUCACAAGUAUUUCAGUAGCUGAGGGAGGUGGCAGCAAGAAGAAACAGGACAACAUGGAAAGAGAACUGAAACUCAAGUGCUCAAGAGAAUUGAAACUGAAACUCAAGGCUGUGAAUGGAAGAAGGACACUGGGGAAAUGCAUGAACACUGGCAAGCCGGCACUACAGUAGAGGCUACUAUAGAAUUCAACUUAGCCAGGGCAGCUAUCCUUGAGGUUUUUUUAAAUCUAAUUUUCUUUGAAAAAAGGAUAACUUGCAUAGGUCUGUAAUAGCUGUCAGGCCCACACCCAUGCUCAUUUAGUAUGAGCACAGUACAGAGCCUUAGAGGGAAAAGAAUGUCUGUAAUCUCAAAGGCAAAAGCCAGAUGAACUCUGAUGCAACACAGAGCAGGCAGAGUAGCAGGCAGAAUGGUGCUGCCGGCUUAGGAGUCCUGUACCCCCGCUCUGGGAAGUGGCACUUGUUAGAGUACAGCAGCGGUCUGGUCUCACACCCCACAUCAAGGGCCAGAAAUGCACCAUGCAGAGCAAGACACUGUGCUCAAGAGUCACCGUUGCCACAAGUGGUUUCGCAGUAACAGGACUAGUGACUUUUCUGAGUCCUCCUCCACCCGCUCAGUUUUCAUCUCUGCAGUAUAACCCCUGCUCAAAUUAUCAAUGCUUUGGAGCCUCCUGAGUGCACAGAACCUUCAUCACUGUUCUACCAGUGUGGUCGUUAUUGAUAGAUCCAUCCAUAAACCUGGUUGCUGCAGCCUGCUGGCUCAGCUUUAUGCCUAGCUGUGACCAUCUCAGUUUGGAUGGAUGAACUGUAGAGAAAACCAAGACACACGCAGGUCAAGGAGCCCCCAUUUCUUGUACUCUGUGUAUCACCACACUAUGUACAGGAAGCCACAAUGUGUCUUGAGUAUAGCAGCCUCCCUCACUAAGUUCUUACAAAGAUGUCAUUGGCAUUUUUGGGGGGUUUGUUCAUCAGGUCUAGAACUUUUCCAGCAAUGCAUUUAGAAGAGAGAAAUCCAUAAGAGAAAUAAAAAGCACAGCACUGGGAUGCUGGACUGAAUGCUGAAACUAAAGGAGGAACUGAUAAAGUAACCCUCAACGCUAUCCACCUACAUUUCUUUCAUUUUUUUUAAAUUAUCUUAUUUUUUCAAUAUUGACUUCUGACCAAGGUAAAGAUUUCUCAUUAGUUUCAGCAACAUGUAAAACCAGUUUCUUACUCUCUGUUAGUUUGUUCCUCAACAACUACUAAGCAUCUGCUAAACCUAGUUUAUAAGCAUGUGAAUAAGGUUAAUCGGUGGCCCAUUUAAAAAUCAGGUAGGGAGGAUAUAGCAUGUUUUAUAUAUAUUUUAGAACAUAUAUAUAUUUCAUAUAGAGCAGUAUAUAGUUAUAUUUCAUAUAUAUCAGGAUAUAUAUAUUUUUUUCCAUGUUGAUACUGUUCCCCAGCUACUGUCUCUGCUAUUAGUGUUUUCACAUUUACAAAAAGCUGUAAUAAAUGCUCAGUGAGGAUCUUCACAUGGAUUACUACAGGGUAGAAGAUAUGUAAACAGAGAAACAAUAAGCUUCCUUUCCUCCUUUCUUCCCUUUCCCAGACUGUAGGAACAUCAACUGCCUCAUUGUACAAUGUUUGCUAAUGUGUUUUAUUCACUGUCAGUAGUAUGGACUAUUGUCAAGUCUCUCAGCCAGACUCCCAAGUCAUAAGGGAAUCAUUUCAGGCAAUGUCACACAAAUGUCACACAAAAAACAACCUGGAAGAAAAGAUAAGAGUCCCUGAUAAAGCUUUGGAGCAAUUUUGCUGACUCAUGAUUUGUCAUUUAUCUUAUGAUAGCUGGCAUUUUUUUGAGUAUCUUACCUUUCACGAAACAGGAGGUCAUUACCUUUCACGAAACAGGGGUUCAUUACCUUUUAGCCCUGAGACCUAGAAGAAUAAAGUCUUGAAAACAUGACAACUUGAAAUUAGCUAAAAAUAAAACCUGACAAAUCAAUAGGUUGUUAUUCUCCUAUUCUUAUUGCUUUGAUGUGUUUUGAAUGUUUGAGCUGGUUUGUUCUUUCUUUGGGCUUCUUUUUCAGCAGGAGUGGAACAAGCUUAUAUUUGAAAACUAAAGAUAUGUUUAAGAAAUUAUGUUUUUUCAAUAUGCAUUCAUGGAAUGAAGAGAGGCAUUUUUAGGACUGGUAAAACAGAAGAUGACUCAUAGUCCUAAUUAUGUUAAAGUCCUGUGCAGGAAUAAACAUACAAUUUUAAGCACAGUUUAAACAAUUUAAACAUAGUUUUGGAUUCAAAGUUACUGAAAAAUAAGUUAAGUGUAGGUAGAGGGUGUGUUUCCAGGAUUAACUUCAUUAGGAAAGACUAUUUCUAAAGUCGAAGUUGUUGGUUAUUCAUUUGCAAAGGUCACUAUCUAUCCCAGGCCUCUUUGGCAAGCUUGCUAAUAAAGGUGCUAUUACGAAACACAGUUGCAAAUUUCAGCUCACCGUUCAAGGGAAGAGAGACAGAGGCCACAGUCUUUCUUUUAUAUAACCGUCAAAGGUGAAUUAUUACUAUUUUCAGCUGGAUGCAGCUCAGAAAAUUGUGAAAGAUGGAAACAUUACCAAGCUCCUAAGACAGGCAUCUUAUUUCAACCUGUGGGCAAAUGGAGCGCAUUGUUUACCUGCACAGAAUUCCAGCCUGUAGUUGACAUGGCAGUCUGUAUCCGUUUGCUUUUCUCCAUGUAAAAUAAUAAACAAAAGUUAUCAAGAGAAUUUAAGGAGAGUAUAGGGUACAGUAGCACUGGGAUAUUUUUAUCGUUUGGAUUGUCUGGCCAACAGUUUCCCUACAAGAUGGAAAUUCUCAGUGGGAUUCUACUAUCACAGAGCCCAGCCUGCACUGAUUCGACUUAUGCUGAGAUCAAGCUGGUGUAAAUUGUAGGGUACCAGGAUACACCAUGGGCAGAACUGAAAUUUUCACAGAAAGCUACUCUCUGAUCUAGAUGACAAUUCAGUUUCGGGAAGGAAAGCAGUGAGAUUUCCAAUGCCAUUCAGCUUUGGUCUUUGUAAUAUUCCAGUAAGGACAGUGGUGAAAUGCUGGUGACUCCAAGGAAUUACAGGUAAACCAUUACUGUGUGCUUUCACAGUGAGCAACACACAAACUCAUGCAUGUGGGCAAUCUCCACACACAGCUCAGCUAACGCCUGGGUUUUGCUGCGUGGGAGGUCCUACUUAAAUAAGACCGUUAGGCAGAUGACCAUUUAAGCACGUGCCCAAAACAGUCUCUUGUGUAGUUAGCAGUGAAGUAUAUCCUUAAGCGUAAGGCAGUGAAACUUAAACACCUACGCAAAGAAGAAAAGACUUAGGCCACCUUAAACAUCUGAUGAAAAUUAAUUGAAAUCUGUUCUGAAAUAAGGGCUCACAGGAGGAAUGUGGGUGUGGCUCAGGCAGGCAAGAGCCAAAAGCACCAGGCCUGCCUGAUAUUAUUAGUCAUGUACAUGUUAAUUAUGUAUGCAACGAGCACCCAGGAAUCAAACCCUCCUGAGAGGUUUAUUGGCUAGAUAAUUUCAUAACCUCUACACUUGGGCCAGGAGGGGGAGAAGAGCAACCUGCUGAUCAAACCUUAAGGAACCGUUGUGUGCACUGGAUAUUCUUCAGAGCAAAACUCUUGCCAGUACGGACUCAAAUGUACUGCGGGAAGAAGCACUACAUCCUGACCUUUAAAACGUGCAGUCAUAGUCACAAAGACCAAGAGAUGCCAGCAUAAUCUGCAAAAGAGUCAUGAGUCACUUGUGAGAUUUGUGCUGCAGAAGGAACACAUUAUCCCUUCACUCUGCUGGUAGUGCCAGUCUCUUUCUGUCUUAAAUGAUCCAUCUGCUGCUGCCCAAAUUAGACACACAGCUCUCCCCAUCACAGUUCAAAGCAGUCGCUGUCAGUGCUCAGAGUGUGGCAUUCUGCGUGGCUUGAACCUUGCUUAGCAUCUUACCUACAGCCAAGGAAACCCCCUCCUGCCAAGUGGUGGCUUAUGUCCCAUUGACACCCUCAAAAGAGUAACUGUUGAUGUGACUGCCAGAGCCAAUUGGUCAAUGCUGUGACCCUGCAGGUCUUUGCUAGCAAGCCCUGCUUAAGGACAAAAGGAGAGAUCUUCCUCCAGUGGAAGUUGCUGUCAUAAGCCUAUGGAUGAGAUGGGAGGUCUGGUGGAAAAAUGAACACCUCAGCUGCAUAGCUCACGGUGUUCGAGGUGUAAGGUGGUCAGCAGCUACUGCUCAUUUGACUGCUCAUUUGUCUUCUGCUCCAUGCACUUUUUUUGGCUCAGGGCACCCAGUGUUGCUGUUCAAAAAAAGCUGAAGCUUUGGCUCACCUCGUUACAUCAUUGCCGUUUGUUUGAAUCCAGUGCAUGCAUGAACCUGAAAUAGUGCAGUUGUUACACACUGCCAUUUAAUUAUUUUGAAGUAGGUUGUGAAAAAAUGUAAAUCCAAAGAAGCAACCUUCACUUCCCUCGUGCUCUCUCCCACAAUAUAUGUAUGUGUAUUGAGGUGCCUAUAGUUCUAAUUACCUUUCUUUUCUUUGAAAGCUUUCCUAUUUGCUCUUUGGGAUGUCCAGUGUUUGGUUCAGUUGUGGAUCCGUGCUUGUAAAUCAGGAGUUCUUCAUUUGGCAAUCUCUCAGGAAUAAAACCAAGACUUAGAAAUCUCCUGAUGGGUAGGUAUUUUAUACUUGAGGUUUUUCUGGUUUCCACUUCUGAAGAAUGAAUAGGCUGCCUUGAAAUAAUGACAUUUGUGGAAGCUCGUUAAGUCUGAUGUGUAUUUAUUAGGACUUCAUGGCAUAUAAGUGGGAAGGCUUACAGUCUGGCGUGUAUGAGGAAAAGCAUCACAAAAUUUAUUCUGGAAAAAAAGAAGUAAGUCAACAAAUCAGUCAAUUUUUCUUUACAGGGAAAAAAAAAAAAGAAACCUAAAUAAGCUCUUUUUUCUACUGAAAUCAAUGGCCCAGUUCAGUGGUUUUUAAAGGAACAAGAAAUCUAAUUUGGUCUUUAGUGUCAAAAUCUCAAAUCCUGAUCAAACCCAGAGUAAGGGACCUUUGUACAGAAAAUACCUAAAGCAUUUCUGGGCACUGAACACCAGCACAGAUCCUUGGAGCUACUAGUGCAGCCCAUGGGAGAGCAGCACUGCCCUCAGCCAAUCUCCAGCCUCACCCCUGGAGCUUCCCAAACUCCUGCAGAAAGGCCCUUCUCUGCUUGUGUGGUUUGGUUAUUUUGAUGGUAGGGCCUGGUGUCAGGACCAGCUGUUUCUUUUGCAGAAGAAAGAAGAGUAAUUUCUAUGUGGAGGGUGCAGGGCAUCUUCCCUACCUCAGUGGGCGCUUGCCUCAUUCCCACUCCAGUUCAGCAAGGGCACUCCUGCAUAUUCUUAGCCUGAACUUACAUGUAAAAGUGAUGAUGCUUUUGUUUUGUUUAGCAGAGAAAGAUGUCUCAUGUGGUUGAAGACCAAAGUCUUAUUCAUUUCUUUCAUCCUCAGUUGCAGGCUGUAAUUGAAGAAAUCUGGAAAGUAUUACAGACUCUGAAGAACUAAAAAGCUUCACUGAAAAAAAAGUGUUCCUCCAGCUCCAGCCACCCCUUCUGCUUUUGCAAUGUUAGCCAAACAAGUUUGCUGUGUCUUUCCCACGGAGGUCCCAGUAUUGCCUGCUGCGAGGGAAGACAUUAUCUGUAGAAGUCAGGCUACCUCAAGAACAGCAUGGAUGGAGCCUGGGAUUCUUCCAAGAAGGGCACAGAAGAUGCUUCCAGAGCUGGCUGGCUCAGGACCAACACGAACUACUGUGUUUGCCUUAGGUCCCCAUUCAAGAACUUCAUUUUCUUCUGUACUACACUUGAAUCAUCCGUUUUGGGGAUAAACUGAUUUGGCCAUGAAGGACCCUUCCUCUAUAUUUGUGCAGUGGCCAAGGCAUUGA
This is a long non-coding RNA of Cuculus canorus (common cuckoo), 8139 nucleotides long. RefSeq lists it as uncharacterized. The record is from RefSeq and is a predicted model, not a curated record. The transcript has 3 exons. NCBI's taxonomy places the organism in Eukaryota, Metazoa, Chordata, Aves, Cuculiformes, Cuculidae.